AUACGAUGAAGAGUUUGAUCCUGGCUCAGGAUGAACGCUAGCGGCAGGCCUAACACAUGCAAGUCGAGGGGUAGAGUAAGCUUGCUUACUUGAGACCGGCGCACGGGUGCGUAACGCGUAUGCAAUCUACCUUAUACUAAGGGAUAGCCCAGAGAAAUUUGGAUUAAUACCUUAUAGUUAAUUGAAAAGGCAUCUUUUUAAUUAUAAAGAUUUAUCGGUAUAAGAUGGGCAUGCGUCCCAUUAGUUAGUUGGUAAGGUAACGGCUUACCAAGACGAUGAUGGGUAGGGGUCCU
Molecule: ribosomal RNA, 293 nt
Filed under: Paenimyroides ummariense
Lineage: Bacteria; Pseudomonadati; Bacteroidota; Flavobacteriia; Flavobacteriales; Flavobacteriaceae
Description: Flavobacterium ummariense 16S rRNA. Bacterial SSU
Rfam family: Bacterial small subunit ribosomal RNA
Source: RNAcentral